RNAcentral lists this long non-coding RNA (519 nucleotides) under Homo sapiens (human). RNAcentral's name for it is "non-protein coding lnc-SNTG2-2:3". The record is from RNAcentral. Lineage: Eukaryota; Metazoa; Chordata; Mammalia; Primates; Hominidae.
UGGAAUCUAGUGAGAUUCUAAGUAGUCCUAUUUAAUUGUGAGUCAAUAGUGACUUGCUGGGUGCGGUGGCGACUCCCACGGCGGAUGGCUGGGUCGAGAGCACAUCUUUAUUUUCUCUCUAGAUCAUUCUUCUUCCUAUUUUGAUUUGAGAAAGGGAACGUGAGAAUUAGGUCAACCAGAGUGUUUUCCCAGUAAGUGUUGAGGCAGGCGUUUGCAAGGAGCAGUAUUGGAAGCGUUUCCGGAGUUUUCCAGUGUGUUCGGGUUUCACCUGCAUGUCAGGGUUCGUCACCGUCACAGGAACCCUGGGUCAUUUUGCCAACUCAGUAGAACGGGGCUAAAAUGGUGUUGAAAGGCUCAGGGUGCUCGCCCACAUCAGUGAGGGAGGUGCAGCUGAUGAAGGAAGUGCUGGGUGCAGAAGGGGAUGCUCUGAAAUGGUGGCUUCUGUUUGCAGUUUCAAAGCUCAGGUAAUUUUCUUGUGCUUUAUCUACUUAUGCCUAAAUUCAGAGGAAGGAUAAAGAA